GGCACGCCUGGACGAUGGACGGGACGUCGUGGUGGCUCGGCACGGCCGGUGUCGCCGGUUCGAUGGCCGCCGGGGCGCUGC
This 81-nucleotide transfer RNA is filed under the name Luteitalea sp. TBR-22. Its description in RNAcentral is "Vicinamibacteria bacterium TBR-22 tRNA-Pro". The record is from RNAcentral. Lineage: Bacteria; Pseudomonadati; Acidobacteriota; Vicinamibacteria; Vicinamibacterales; Vicinamibacteraceae.